RNAcentral lists this non-coding RNA (31 nucleotides) under Mus musculus (house mouse). The record is from RNAcentral. Lineage: Eukaryota; Metazoa; Chordata; Mammalia; Rodentia; Muridae.
UCGAAACCCUAGCCUAACCUGCAGCUAAAAU